Molecule: non-coding RNA, 750 nt
Organism: Pelobates cultripes (western spadefoot toad)
Lineage: Eukaryota; Metazoa; Chordata; Amphibia; Anura; Pelobatidae
Source: the annotation of a GenBank genome assembly
CAAUCUGUACAAUUGAUAAAGAGCCUUUAAUAGUCAACUUCAUAAUACAUUUCCUGUGCAUGCAAUUUCUCUGCCUCACUGAGGCAUAAAUACAGUGUAGGAAAAAACACACCCUUGAAGGGUGUAGCAUAAAAAAUAUGAUGGCACUUGUGAGCAGCUGGGGGGUCACCCUGAGGGCACUCCCCGGUAUCGUGGCGGCGAUCGGGUGAAUCCCGAACCGCCGUGUGUGAGGGUGAGGCGGCCGUCGCGGAUCUCGCGAGCCGCGAGAUCCAAGAUGGCCGCCGGCCGCGUGGAUAGAGGUGUCUCGCUCGCGGCCGCGAGCGAGGUGAAGAAAAACGCGGCAAACUAAAAAUUAAACCCCGGCUACCCUCCACCCGUCCCCAACAGCCCCUGUGUGUGGAGAAAAAGCGGGUCCGCGUGGUGAGCGUGGCACCAACGGCCGCGCCGCCCGCGGGCCGCCGAAAGAGAAAUAAGGAGGAAAAUAACGCAGCAGAACAGAGACACAGAGGGGAAAUACUAAAGAGUAGGGGGGACAGUAUAGGCAGUCAGGGGUUAAAGUAGUACAAUAAAAACACAAUAAAAAAUACAGCAAUACAUAAGGUAUACUAGAGGUAAAAUUACUCUGACCUGUAUAUGGCUGGAGCAGCAAAGAAAGAGGAAGUGAUGUCAUAGACAGGGCCUUUUAUGGGCACCAUAUCUUUUUUCUGAUUGGUUGUUACUGUUUCUAUGCUGCUGGAGUUUUCAGUAAAG